GAUGAACGCUGGCGGCGUGCCUAAUACAUGCAAGUCGAGCGAACGGACGAGAAGCUUGCUUCUCUGAUGUUAGCGGCGGACGGGUGAGUAACACGUGGAUAACCUACCUAUAAGACUGGGAUAACUUCGGGAAACCGGAGCUAAUACCGGAUGAUAUUUUGAACCGCAUGGUUCAAAAGUGAAAGACGGUCUUGCUGUCACUUAUAGAUGGAUCCGCGCUGCAUUAGCUAGUUGGUAAGGUAACGGCUUACCAAGGCAACGAUGCAUAGCCGACCUGAGAGGGUGGUCGCGCAGCAGGGGACAGGGAUACGGUCCGGAGUAAUGCGGGACGGAGCAGUGGCGGAUGUGAGGCAAUGGGCGUGAGUAUGAAGUAGCAAGUGCGCGGGAGAGAUGAAAGUCGUCGGAUCGUGAAAACCUGUUAAGAGGGCCAAACCUAUGUGGAAGGAAAAGUGCGGGGCGUGACGGUACCUAAACAGAAAGCAACGGCUAACUACGUG
RNAcentral lists this ribosomal RNA (497 nucleotides) under uncultured bacterium. RNAcentral describes it as "partial 16S ribosomal RNA". It matches the Rfam family "Bacterial small subunit ribosomal RNA", at positions 28 to 507 of the family's 1533-position model. The record is from RNAcentral.